This is a long non-coding RNA of Aedes albopictus (Asian tiger mosquito), 5750 nucleotides long. RefSeq lists it as uncharacterized. The transcript is spliced from 2 exons. NCBI's taxonomy places the organism in Eukaryota, Metazoa, Arthropoda, Insecta, Diptera, Culicidae. The record is from RefSeq and is a predicted model, not a curated record.
GCAAAAAUUGAAAACUUUUUCCACCACAAAAAAAUCAGAAGAUAUCUUGAUCCAUACUCUACAUGUGUACGAAAACCGAUUUUGAAAAUAUUGCUUCGCUAUUCAAUAAAAAAUCAAAAAUCAAAAAGUGAGGAAAUGCUUCCAGUUUCACCCUCAGGCGAAACUCCAUUUUCCUCAUUAUUAAACAACGAGGCAUCCAUAAAGUACGUCACGCAUAGAGGGGUGAGGGGGGUUUUGAAAAUGUGAAAAGCAAUGUGUUAAGUAUAGGAAAUACCCGUACGAAGAAGGGAGCAGGGGUUAAAAAUUCCCAUUAUUAGCGUGACGUACUAAAUGGAGGUCCCCUUAAGGUAUUUUCUAGUUUUUGUUUCCCUGAUGGAAAAUGUCAGUUUUACAAAAACCAUUUUUAAACGAAAUUGUAAAAAAAAAUACUUUUUGUAUAACUGAUAAGAAGGAGAAGGAGGAAAUGGAUCCAGUUUCGCCUUAAUAACAACUGCUUUACAACUAGCUUUAUGCAAUUUCUUAUAAUGAUGGAAAUUUAUUCAACAAUGUAUAUUUCAUAUUUUCCACAAACACCUUAAACAUCUCUAUCAGAUUGCUUUCAAGCUCUAUUUACUUUUGUCGUCCCACGUCCAUCUACAUGAAACUGUCAAGCUGUGCACGAAAAAUCCAACAACGAACGUCACUAGCAUACCAGCAGAUUUGGUGAACCUUUCCAUAAACUGCAGAGCACUCACCCACGCACGCGCAGGCAGACAACUUCCAUCAACAUCAACUGCGGGAAAAUCAUUUAGCGCACCGGGCGGGAAUGGAACGAUCAUCCUCGGUUUGUGGUGGUGCUACUGAAUUGCGGAAAGUUAAUGGUCCGACGACGAUGGUCGUCGACACUCGACAGCCGUUGAGACAAUUUGCCAAAAAAUCUGUCUUACGGGUACCAAACGUAAGAACAAAUCGCUACUUACAGUAGCAAUCAAAAGUGAAAAAAAACAGCAUUUAAGUAUUUUUGCAAUUUUUUACCAAAAAAUCACUACCCAAGUCAUUUUUAAGUUAUUUUGCCUUUGAAUUAGAAUAACAAGAAUGUAGCACCUGUACAAUCAAAAACCUGCGCUGUCGACACUCUUUUGUGACUUGUGUGCUGCAUGGGAACAAAAUUGAUCCUUGCGAAGUACAUAGGAAAAAAUCAUAAAAUAUUCGUAGAAAGUUUUCUCAAAAGAGUUAAUGAAAUUUCAGAAAUGUAAUGAAAGUCUCAACAAAAACAACAUUUUUUUUUUUGAAAAAAGAUACCAAGGAUUUUGAGCAGAAAUAAUUUUGAGUGUAGUACAACAAAAUCCUCUCAAACACAUUCAAAACUCUUUGAAAACGGACUUAGUGGUCCAGUGGCUACCGCUUCUGAUUCGUAUGCAGAAGGUUCUGGGUUCAAACUUUGGCCCGUUCCUGCCGCCUACUUUGUAACUUUCUAUACACUUUUUUGCUCCUCUCUACAUAUACAUUAGCCUGGGACACGCUUUAUAUGGGAAAAUAUGAAACAUGCAAAAAUUCUAUCUCCUGCAUACUUUUUAAGUGCCAUUUUGGUCCUGUGCAAAAUUUCAGAUCGAUCGUGAAAAGUAUAUUUUAGCGCCCGCCAUUCUUAGUUUUUCAUACGAUUUACUAUGGGGAAAACUAUGAGAUUCUUCUUUAAAGAAAAAUCGCUCCGGGUCACCCCUUGAUCCCUAAAAAUAAGUUGAGGAGUGAGUUCUGUGGAAAACUUCAAGAGGAAUCAGACCUCUAGAGACCGCAAAGCGAUGCGACGUUCGAGGGAAAAGUUAUUAUUUUUUAAGAGACAAGAAAUGGAGAAAACAAUAACACAGUUUUCCAAAGUUUUACUAAAACCGCAUCAAAUUAAACAAGGAAUCAUAAUAUCUACGCUUUUUGUACCAUUUCCUUGCAGAAACGAAGAAUUCACCAUCUCACCCAGAGUUGGUAAAAACUCAAAAUCACAAAUCUCAUGCUUGAGUUGUUUCACGCGCGAUUCUUGACUCGCCAAACUCACCGCCGAAAAAAUCAUACAUGAGUUGACUCGUGAUUUCACUCAUUGCUUUAUUUCUUGGUGUUCUUAUUAUUUACAUCGAAGUUUUUACGAUUAUAUGAUAGAACAAUAGCAAAUCUAGCGUACAAUGGCAUUGAAAUUGAUUUGGAUUCGUUUUACAAGCGAACGAGAUUUCGGUGCUUGGCUCGUGAGAGCGAGAUUUUGCAUGAAAAUCUCGCGCGUCAGAAAGUGAUUCAGAAUCGCGCGCGAGUUUGCUCACGGAGGAGCGGUUCAUGAGUGUGCUUUGAGUGUGAUUUUACCAACACUGAUCUCACCAUAACAAAAAAUCAGCUCAUUACCACAAUUCUAGUACCUAACCGAUCAUGCCCUAUUAUUACAAAAUUAUAACAAGUUCUGUUAUUUAUUUCAGAACAAAUUUGUUUUAAAUUCUUUGGCUAUUGACAUAUAUUAUCAAACAUAUCAUAUUUUGGAAUAAAUUCGUAAAAUAUAGCAAAUAUUUCUAUUAAUGUUUUAUUAAAUUCUGUUAUAUCAAAGAAUAAAGGGCUCCGACGACGGGACGCCAAGCAGUCAGUAGUGUGCGGUAGUUCGGCAGCAGCAAAGUUUCGCGCGCUCGCUUUGCUAGAUUUUUGCUAUUUUUUUUUCUCUUCCCUCUGCGGGGCUCCGACGACGGGACGAGUGUGCGCGCGCCGUGGUUCGAGUCGGUUCCGAAUUUUUCGCUUCCCUUCGGCGCUAGUUUCCAAUACACUUUUAGUUGAUAGUAAAUAUUUUCUUUCAUUUUUUGCAUUUACACAAAAGAGUGAAAAAUGUUACUUCGGGUUCGCCGGUCGAGAAAAAAAUCCGGGCGCCGACAAGUGAGUCGCGUUCAGUGUAUUUCUGUGUGGAAUAGACUAAAGGUUUCUGCUCCCUAGUGGAGUGGAGACGCGCGAUAGAAUUUUCUUUUUGGCUAGUUCUUGCGUCGAAAAGUGGUCGGUUGUUAACGGCGGUUUGUGUAUAUUGAUCCAUUGUCAAAUCAUAUCACCAACCAUAGGUGACUCCCGGACUGACAAUGUACCUUACCCUACUAACAAAUAAAUCCUUCCUGAGACAAACGUGGAGAUGCAGCGAUUCACGGUCUUUAUAACAACGUUUGUCUUACUAACAUUCCCUUCCAUCCUCGAUGACCGUAAGGACGUGGCCGGCGCCGUUAUUGACCUUAUUAAAGUUGAGAGCUCUCGACCUGUGUACAUUGAGAAUAGUAAGCUAGUCCCAAGCCCUGUUCAUUGGUUCCUUGUGCAAUUUCGAUUGCUCUGGUCAAUCACGGAGUAGCAACUACGAAUUGUGCGGUCAUCUAUGCUCAUGCUCAUGCUCAUGCUCAAAUUAUGUUAUAUCAAAGAAUAAAAAAGAAGAACGCUAUCUCUUGUGUUUUUCUAUGUAAACGUCAAGCGACAAGACAAGUAGCGCUCUCUAAGCGUAUUAAGGUGGAAGCUUUCUGUAACAGUGUUCGUGAUUUGUCGUAAGAGAAGGUGGUGUGCGUAUGUUUAGAUAUUCGCAUACAAUCAAUAUCACACACUACCGCAUGAAGGUUGAACUUUCAUCCGCAGAUAGCGUUGCGGUAGUGCCCCCCACAGCAUAGGCGGAGUGGACAUUCAUGAUAUUCUUAUUCUUUGGUUAUAUGCAAUUGACAUAAUAUAACAAAUGUUGUUUUACAUAUAUAAUUUGUAAUUAGUUGUUUUAAUGCAACAAUAACAUGUAUUGUAACAAUAUUCAAUACAUGAAACAAGUUAAGUUAUUAUUUUGUAAUUAAAACACUGACGAAUGUUAUUAGAAGUUUGUGAUAAAGGGGAUAGACAAUAAGAUCGCAAAAUUUUCACCUCUCAUUUUUUUUUCAACUAGCUGUAGAUUUCGAAAAGUACAUAAAAUAUUUUCAAAUUUUCACUGUAAGUCGAUCAACUAGGUGUAUAUUAGUGGUCAAAAUUUGUAAUAGAUCGAGCUGUUCUGCAGGAAGUUAUAAAGAUUCUAGGAAAAGGUAUGAUUAUCGGAAUGCCAACUUUGAGCUGUUAUAUCUCCGGAUUCAAUCAACCGAAUUCAUAAUAUAUAAUGAGUUCUGAAAAACGUUUGACUUAACUUGAAAUUAUAACCAAGAAAAAAUUUAUAGUGAUUUCAUUUUUUUAAGAUUUUUUUAGAAAACUGGUAUUGAAAAUAUAUGCAUACCAUUACUAUUUCAAUUUAUUGCCGGCUAUGUUGUUACUUUGCUUCAAAACAUAUUUAUACUCAAGACAAUCAGAAAGAGUUUAAAUGAGCUAUAAUUAGCAUCUUGAAUUUUGAAACGAUGUUGAAGUUUUAGAGUUUUUGGUGUUGUUGCGGUAACUUGUGCCGAAUCCCAUGGGCGGUAAAAGAAGAUACUGACAUGCGGACUUAUUUGGUAUACAUAUAGAUGUAUAUUGUGAUUUUUCAAUGACUCGAUAUAGCCAGUAGAGAGAUUAGUGUUAUUGUCAUCACCUAUCGGUUGGUUGAGAGGAAGCAUUUAGCAUUGUGUGGAUUGCGGGUUCAUAUACAAGUGGUUAGCGCCUGAAAUGUAAGAAAUUAGGUAUAGUUUGAUAAAUUUGAUACAACUUAUAGCAUAUUUUCAGUUGGAGUCACAUAAGGAGCAGAGGGAAAUAAAAUUGUUGGUAAUAAUCAGGGAGUAGGAUCAAACCAGUCUUUUAGCGUUCUGGAUUCUACGUCUUGUGUGAUUCCUUGCUCAAAAGAGUUCCGACAAUUCCCACCCCAACAGGUGUUUUGUUAUAAAAAUAGUCUAAUCGUUACAGCUCUUCCCUCUGCGGGGCUCCGACGACGGGACGCCAAGCAGUCAGUAGUGUGCGGUAGUUCGGCGGCAGCAGCAAAGCUUCGCGCGCAGGUUUUGCUAGAUUUUUGCGAUUUAUUUUUCUCUCGGCGGGGCUUCGACGACGACGACGGGACGCCAAGCAGUCAGUAGUGUGCGGUAGUUCGGCAGCAGCAAAGUUUCGCGCGCAGGUUUUGCUAGAUCUUUGCGAUUUUUUUUUCUCUUCUCUCGGCGGGGCUCCGACGGCGGGACGAAGCGCACGGUUGACGCGUGGUGGCUCGAGUCGGUUCCGAAUUUUUCGCUUCCCGUCGGCGCUAGUUCCCAAUACACUUUUAGUUGAUAAUAAUUUUUUUUGUACAUUAACACAAAAGAGUGAAAAAUGUUAGUUCGGACUCGCCGGUCGUGGAAAAAAUCCGGGCGCCAACAAGUGAGUCGCGUUCAGUGUAUUUCUGUGUGGAAUAGACUAAAGGUUUCUGCUCCCUAGUGGAGUGGAGACGCGCGAUAGAAUUUUCUUUUUGGCUAGUUUUUGCGUCGAAAAGUGAUCGGUUGUUAACGGUGGUUUGUGUAUAUUGAUCCAUUGUCAAAUCAUAUCACCAACCAUAGGUGACUCCCGGACUGACAAUGUACCUUACCCUACUAACAAAAAAAUCCUUCCUGAGACAAACGUGGAGAUGCAGCGAUUCGCGGUCUUUUUAACAACGUUUGUCUUACUAACAUUCCCUUCCAUCCUCGAUGACCGUAAGGACGUGGCCGGCGCCGUUAUUGACCUUAUUAAAGUUGAGAGCUCUCGACCUGUGUACAUUGAGAAUAGUAAGCUAGUCCCAAGCCCUAUUCAUUGGUUCCUUGUGCAAUUUCGAUUGCUCUGGUCAAUCACGGAGUAGCAACUACGAAUUGUGCGGUCAUCUAUGCUCAUGCUCAUGCUCAAAA